UCCUCGAUAGUAUAGUGGUGAGUAUCUCCGCCUGUCACGCGGAAGACCGGGGCUCAAUUCCCCGUCGGGGAG
Molecule: transfer RNA, 72 nt
Filed under: Saccoglossus kowalevskii
Lineage: Eukaryota; Metazoa; Hemichordata; Enteropneusta; Harrimaniidae
Description: tRNA-Asp
Rfam family: tRNA
About the family: Transfer RNA (tRNA) molecules are approximately 80 nucleotides in length.
Source: RNAcentral